This 366-nucleotide ribosomal RNA is filed under the name uncultured organism. RNAcentral's name for it is "bacterial SSU rRNA". It matches the Rfam family "Bacterial small subunit ribosomal RNA", at positions 527 to 896 of the family's 1533-position model. The record is from RNAcentral.
CGGAGAUCCAAGCGUUAUCCGGAUUUAUUGGGUUUAAAGGUGCGUAGGCGGCCUAUUAAGUCAGGGGUGAAAGACGGUAGCUUAACUAUCGCAGUGCCCUUGAUACUGAUGGGCUUGAAUAUACUUGAGGUAGGCGGAAUGUGACAAGUAGCGGUGAAAUGCAUAGAUAUGUCACAGAACACCAAUUGCGAAGGCAGCUUACUAAGGUAUGAUUGACGCUGAGGCACGAAAGCGUGGGGAUCAAACAGGAUUAGAUACCCUGGUAGUCCACGCCCUAAACGAUGAACACUCGAUGUUGGCGAUAUACGGUCAGCGUCAAAGCGAAAGCGUUAAGUGUUCCACCUGGGGAGUACGCCCGCAAGGGUG